This 406-nucleotide ribosomal RNA is filed under the name uncultured bacterium. RNAcentral describes it as "partial 16S ribosomal RNA". It matches the Rfam family "Bacterial small subunit ribosomal RNA", at positions 30 to 526 of the family's 1533-position model. The record is from RNAcentral.
AUUGAACGCUGGCGGCAGGCCUAACACAUGCAAGUCGAACGAGUGGCGGACGGGUGAGUAAUGUCUGGGAAACUGCCCGCUGUAGCGGGAUAACUCCUGGAAACGGUAGCUAAUACCGCAUACCAUCGGAUGUGCCCAGAUGGGAUUAGCUAGAAGGUGGGGUAACGGCUCCCCAAGGCGACGAUCCCUAGCUGGUCUGAGAGGAUGACCAGCCACACUGGAACUGAGACACGGUCCAGACUCCUACGGGAGGCAGCAGUGGGGAAUAUUGCACAAUGGGCGCAAGCCUGAUGCAGCCAUGCCGCGUGUAUGAAGAAGGCCUUCGGGUUGUAAAGUACUUUCAGCGAGGAGGCGUUACUCGCAGAAGAAGCACCGGCUAACUCCGUGCCAGCAGCCGCGGUAAUUC